Halorientalis sp. IM1011 is the source of this 97-nucleotide regulatory RNA element. It matches the Rfam family "L4-Archaeoglobi ribosomal protein leades". The record is from Rfam. Lineage: Archaea; Methanobacteriati; Methanobacteriota; Halobacteria; Halobacteriales; Haloarculaceae.
CUGACGGACGCGUUCGGGUCAAUUGCGGACUGCAACACCCGAUCUCCCUCCCCGAGCCCGACGGCGGGCUGGCGGAGGGGGAGCGCGUAUCCAUCAG